This 253-nucleotide ribosomal RNA is filed under the name uncultured bacterium. Its description in RNAcentral is "partial 16S ribosomal RNA". It matches the Rfam family "Bacterial small subunit ribosomal RNA", at positions 524 to 776 of the family's 1533-position model. The record is from RNAcentral.
UACGGGGGGGGCAAGCGUUGUUCGGAAUUACUGGGCGUAAAGGGCUCGUAGGCGGCCAACUAAGUCAGACGUGAAAUCCCUCGGCUUAACCGGGGAACUGCGUCUGAUACUGGAUGGCUUGAGAUUGGGAGAGGGAUGCGGAAUUCCAGGUGUAGCGGUGAAAUGCGUAGAUAUUGGGAGGAACACCAGUGGCGAAGGCGGCGCACUGGACCGGAACUGACGCUGAGGCGCGAAAGCGUGGGGAGCAAACGGG